CGGACGAGAUGUCACUAGACUGUUGGGGGCUUCGUGGCCUUGCGUAGCGCAGCUCACGCGCUGAAGUUGACCGCCUGGGGAGUACGGUCGCACGAUAAAGACUCUCAGGAGUUGACGGGGGCCCCCACACGCGGUGGAUAAUGUGGAUUUUUUCUCUGCACCGCGAAAAAACUUAUCUACGCUUGACAUGUCUGGAAUGCCUAACAGAUUUGGCAUUGCUCCCUCGAGAACCGGAACACAGGUGCUGCAUGGCUGUCGUCAGCUCGUGUCGUGAGAUGUUGGGUUAAGUCCCGCAACGAGCGCAACCCUUGUCAUUAGUUGCUACCAAAGGGCACUCUAAUGAGACUGCCGGUGACAAACCGGAGGAAGGUGGGGAUGACGUCAAGUCCUCAUGGCCCUUAUGGGUAGGGCUUCACACGUCAUACAAUGGUCGGGACAGAGGGUCGCCAACCCGCGAGGGGGAGCCAAUCCCAGAAACCCGAUCGUAUUCCGGAUCGCAGUCUGCAACUCGACUGCCUGAAGUCUGAAUCGCUAGUAAUCGCGGAUCACCAUGUCGCGGUGAAUACGUUCCCGGGUCUUGUACACACCGCCCGUCACACCAUGGGAGUGGGUUUUACCAUAACUACUUAGCCUAACCGCAAGGGGGGCGA
This 650-nucleotide ribosomal RNA is filed under the name uncultured bacterium. RNAcentral describes it as "bacterial SSU rRNA". It matches the Rfam family "Bacterial small subunit ribosomal RNA", at positions 801 to 1453 of the family's 1533-position model. The record is from RNAcentral.